GGGAAUGUGGUAAAUUUAUGUUGAGGAGUGAGGAAAUGAGUAUUGGAAGUAUUUAGAUAGUGUUGCCCCGGAGUAGACCCUGAUGCAUGUUGUGGCAUGUCAAGCAAAAUAAGAAAUUGUGCAUGUGACACAGGAGGCAAACUAGAAAGAUAUUCCAAAUUAUCGAUAGAAGAUAGAGGAGGUGGCAACCCGUUAGCCCAAGAUCGAUGCAUUUCUAUCAUUUGCUG
Molecule: long non-coding RNA, 227 nt
Filed under: Capsicum annuum
Lineage: Eukaryota; Viridiplantae; Streptophyta; Magnoliopsida; Solanales; Solanaceae
Description: long non-coding RNA (CANN_LNC004577)
Source: RNAcentral